GUGAGUCGCGACGGUCGGAUUUUCGGAAGAACCCCAACUUGUUUUGCGUGUUUUGUGCCGUGGGAAGGUUUCUUUUGUCAGUGUAUUCGUGCGACUGUAUGUGUGCGUGUUUAUGUCCGGCGUUAAGGUGCACGGCCGUUCUCCCCGCAGUUGAUUUGUGCGGUUUCGUUGGUUCUUCUUGGGAAGGAGCUGCAGGCCUUCGAGCCCGCCGUCCUCCGGUGUGUCCCCAAUCGCGCGCGUGAGACGACGUCUUGUUCCGUGCAAGAGGACGGGACGACGACGAGGUCAAAGGGGAUCACCAUCUCUCGGUCGUGUUGAGACUUGGGAGUGCUGUGCGUGUCCAGAGAGCGGAACAAGAAGAGACUUGUGGGAAGUGUUUUGGGUUUGGGAAAAACAGAGGGCUGAUGUGAUCUUGGCUCCAGCAGGAGAGAGUUUGGUGGAACCGUUUUGACGUUGUGUAUGUGCAUUUGCUAAACUGGCAUCUUGUUUUUACCCCAUUCUGUUCUGUGCCGUAUUUGAUGAACAUUUUUGACACAAUCUCCGCAGCUAUUUACGAUAAUCUUUCGUCUUCUGUGCGACGAGUGUCUGUGUUUUGUGACGAGCUUCUAGCUUAGAAGACAUCGCGGCGGAGUGUGCAAGAAACGCAUCAACGAUUUUAUGAGUGCGAUUUAGCUGAAGUUGAAUACAUGAGUUUUCCGGCUGCGCUCGUUUGACAGAUGCUGCAUUGAAGGUUGGCGCUAUAAAUAGCAAAGGACUCAUCCAUCAUAGGGAAAAUCGAUCAGCUGACAUUGCGUGCAUUAGUGGAGGAGUGAAAGUGUGUGCGAGAGAGAAGAGAGAGUGGCGGUGCGUAUAAUUUAUAUCGUGAUUUGGAUAGUCUCGAAAAAGCUGCCGGAACCAAUUAGCGGUAGAAACAUUCGCAAAGUGAUUAAUGAAGCCCUAGAUUACAAAAAGGUCGGCCUGGAAAACUGCUAUAUCGAGUAAAGCAAAAAGCUAUCCCCAUUCCAAGAAGUAAGACAAAACCCGAGUUGACCUAAUAUCUCGCGUUUUGUUCCGUUCGUGUCGCGGGUUCACUGUACGCGUGGAAGAAACUAAGUCGCCCGGAAGUAAGGUGGCGAAAAAAGAACUCGUCAGCUAACUUUUUGCCCGCAUCGGGGAUAAAGUGGGAAGAAGCUCCGAGCAGGUGAUGUGUCAUCCACCAAAGCAAAAGAAAGCGAAAUUAUAAAUGAUUAGCAUUAUCGCCGUUAAAAGUGUGAAAAAUCUCGGAAGCGAAGAGGAAGAAUAAAUAAAAUAAGUGUCGCACGGAAAACAACAAUCAUAGGUGUGUCAACAACGACUAAUCUUCGUACUGCAGCGGUCGAGUCGGCGUGACAAACGGUGCGUGAAAAGAAGCGUAGAGAGUGAGUUCCAGGCGGCGAGGUGCCGAUUGUUGCGUGAUUUCAGACGACUGAUCAUUUGGUGCAAGUAGGCGUAGGAAAAGCGUGUUUAAUAGUGUUGUUUUUUUUUAUUGUUGUUCGUUGCCAUCUUAGAAGGCGUCCAUCGAUUUGCGAAGCUUAAAUGUGCGAUCCAUUCGUGGAAGGGACGAUACAGGAGAAACGAUAAAACCGAUAAUCAUGUGUCUGUGACGAUAUUUUUUUCCCCUGGUGAAACUUCAGAUAUUACCGCGAGUGUGGCAAGUUGGCAGCUUGGCCAUUGAAGGAAGAAGUGAAGUGAAGGUGGUGUGCAUAGUGAACUCGAGUGUGGCAAAUGGUUGACGACGACUAUUCGCGCCUCGGUUUUUUGACAUCGCGCUGGAUUUUGGCAAUGCUGAGUUGCCUUUCUCGGUAGAUCCGUGUAAGCCAUCCACCAAUCGGACUGCGAGGCGACUAAUUUGAGAAGUAAGUUCCAGAUAUGCCAUCAUGUGAUACCAAAGCACCGAUCACCUCUAAACACUGAUCUACAUGUGAAAUCAAAUAUUCCGGUCACAACUUCAACCCAGUGCAAAUCCAACAAAUCGUGCAAACAG
Molecule: long non-coding RNA, 2002 nt
Organism: Armigeres subalbatus
Lineage: Eukaryota; Metazoa; Arthropoda; Insecta; Diptera; Culicidae
Exons: 4
Source: RefSeq, a predicted model, not a curated record